ACCCAUAGACCAACUUUUGGGGAGUGAC
Molecule: small RNA, 28 nt
Filed under: Bombyx mori (domestic silkworm)
Lineage: Eukaryota; Metazoa; Arthropoda; Insecta; Lepidoptera; Bombycidae
Description: ovarian small RNA-11267
Source: RNAcentral